GUGCUCACUUCGGCAGCACAUGUAGUAAAAUGGGAACGAUACAGAGACCAGCAUGGCCCCUGCAUGAGGAAGACAUGCAAUUUAUGAAGCAUCCCAUAUUUUU
Camelus dromedarius (Arabian camel) is the source of this 103-nucleotide small nuclear RNA. NCBI's taxonomy places the organism in Eukaryota, Metazoa, Chordata, Mammalia, Artiodactyla, Camelidae. The record is from Ensembl.